UGGGGAAUAUUGCACAAUGGGCGAAAGCCUGAUGCAGCAACGCUGCGUGAGGGACGACGGCCUUCGGGUUGUAAACCUCUUUUAGCAAGGAAGAAGCGAAAGUGACGGUACUUGCAGAAAAAGCGCCGGCUAACUACGUGCCAGCAGCCGCGGUAAUACGUAGGGCGCAAGCGUUAUCCGGAAUUAUUGGGCGUAAAGAGCUCGUAGGCGGUUUGUCGCGUCUGCUGUGAAAACCCGAGGCUCAACCUCGGGCCUGCAGUGGGUACGGGCAGACUAGAGUGCGGUGGGGGAGAUUGGAACUCCUGGUGUAGCGGUGGAAUGCGCAGAUAUCAGGAAGAACACCGAUGGCGAAGGCAGAUCUCUGGGCCGUAACUGACGCUGAGGAGCGAAAGGGUGGGGAGCAAACAGGGCUUAGAUACCCUGGUAGUCCACCCCGUAAACGUUGGGAACUAGUUGUGGGGUCCAUUCCACGGAUUCCGUGACGCAGCUAACGCAUUAAGUUCCCCGCCUGGGGAGUACGGCCGCAAGGCUAAAACUCAAAGGAAUUGACGGGGUCAUAGCUGUUUCCU
This 569-nucleotide ribosomal RNA is filed under the name uncultured bacterium. RNAcentral's name for it is "partial 16S ribosomal RNA". It matches the Rfam family "Bacterial small subunit ribosomal RNA", at positions 355 to 1375 of the family's 1533-position model. The record is from RNAcentral.